RNAcentral lists this unclassified non-coding RNA (187 nucleotides) under uncultured Verticillium. RNAcentral's name for it is "sequence contains ITS2". The record is from RNAcentral. Lineage: Eukaryota; Fungi; Ascomycota; Sordariomycetes; Hypocreales.
CAACCCUCGAGCCCCCCGUGGCUUGGUGUUGGGGACCGGCGACCUCGCCCGCACCUCCUCGGUGCAGGCGCCCGCCGCCCCCGAAAUGAAUCGGCGGUCUCGUCGCGGCCUCCUCUGCGUAGUAGCACAACCUCGCAACAGGAGCGCGACGCGGCCACUGCCGUAAAACGCCCCAACUUUUUCUCAG